UAGCUCAGUCGGUAAAGAAUCUGCCUGCAGUGCAGGAGACCUGGGUUCAAUUCCUAG
RNAcentral lists this transfer RNA (57 nucleotides) under Ovis aries (sheep). It matches the Rfam family "tRNA", at positions 8 to 63 of the family's 71-position model. Rfam says of the family: Transfer RNA (tRNA) molecules are approximately 80 nucleotides in length. Their secondary structure includes four short double-helical elements and three loops (D, anti-codon, and T loops). Further hydrogen bonds mediate the characteristic L-shaped molecular structure. tRNAs have two regions of fundamental functional importance: the anti-codon, which is responsible for specific mRNA codon recognition, and the 3' end, to which the tRNAs corresponding amino acid is attached (by aminoacyl-tRNA synthetases). tRNAs cope with the degeneracy of the genetic code in two manners: having more than one tRNA (with a specific anti-codon) for a particular amino acid; and 'wobble' base-pairing, i.e. permitting non-standard base-pairing at the 3rd anti-codon position. Lineage: Eukaryota; Metazoa; Chordata; Mammalia; Artiodactyla; Bovidae. The record is from Rfam by way of RNAcentral.